UUUGGACGUUCGGCCAUCCUAAUGCAUAUUGAUCUUUUUUUUGAGAGAUAAGUAGCACGCUACCCGCUUCGUUUAUUUCAUUUAGAAAUAAAUUUAGCUGAAAAUGUAAAUCAACUAGGAUUCGAACUUAGGUCUCGGGUACUAGCCACCAAACCUUUUGUCACUUGCUCUAUGGACGGUCGGUCCUAAUGCAUAUUGAUCGUACCAGUUAAUAUGCUCGAGUGUCGCCCAAUAUGUAGCAUC
RNAcentral lists this long non-coding RNA (243 nucleotides) under Ananas comosus (pineapple). Its description in RNAcentral is "long non-coding RNA (ACOM_LNC002992)". The record is from RNAcentral. Lineage: Eukaryota; Viridiplantae; Streptophyta; Magnoliopsida; Poales; Bromeliaceae.